UACGGAGGAUCCAAGCGUUGUCCGGAUUUAUUGGGCUUAAAGGGUGCGUAGGCGGAUAAUUAAGUCAGUGGUGAAAUCUUGCGGCUCAACCGUAAAAUUGCCAUUGAAGCUGAUUAUCUCGAGUACAGUUGAGGUGGGCGGAAUGUAUCAUGUAGCGGUGAAAUGCUUAGAUAUGAUACAGAACACCUAUUGCGAAAGCAGCUCACUAAGCUGUCACUGACGCUGAGGCACGAAAGCGUGGGGAUCAAACAGG
RNAcentral lists this ribosomal RNA (253 nucleotides) under uncultured bacterium. Its description in RNAcentral is "partial 16S ribosomal RNA". It matches the Rfam family "Bacterial small subunit ribosomal RNA", at positions 524 to 776 of the family's 1533-position model. The record is from RNAcentral.